GACGAACGCUGGCGGCGUGCUUAACACAUGCAAGUCGAACGGAAAGGCCCUGCUUGCAGGGUACUCGAGUGGCGAACGGGUGAGUAACUCGUGGGUGAUCUGCCCUGCACUUCGGGAUAAGCCUGGGAAACUGGGUCUAAUACCGGACAGGAGCCAUUUUUAGUGUGAUGGUUGGAAAGUUUUUUCGGUGUAGGAUGAGCUCGCGGCCUAUCGGCUUGUUGGUGGGGUAAUGGCCUACCAAGGCGGCGACGGGUAGCCGGCCUGAGAGGGUGGACGGCGACAUUGGGACUGAGAGACGGCCCAGACUCCGACGGGAGGCAGCAGUGGGGAAUAUUGCACAAUGGGCGCAAGCCUGAUGCAGCGACGCCGCGUGGGGGAUGACGGCCUUCGGGUUGUAAACUCCUUUCGCUAGGGACGAAGCUUUUUGUGACGGUACCUAGAUAAGAAGCACCGGCUAACUACGUG
This 465-nucleotide ribosomal RNA is filed under the name uncultured bacterium. RNAcentral describes it as "partial 16S ribosomal RNA". It matches the Rfam family "Bacterial small subunit ribosomal RNA", at positions 28 to 507 of the family's 1533-position model. The record is from RNAcentral.